RNAcentral lists this long non-coding RNA (371 nucleotides) under Brassica napus (rape). RNAcentral describes it as "long non-coding RNA (BNAP_LNC023471)". The record is from RNAcentral. Lineage: Eukaryota; Viridiplantae; Streptophyta; Magnoliopsida; Brassicales; Brassicaceae.
CCUUGUAAAGUUACAAUGAAUUCACAAGGAAAGUAUUACAAUGAAUUUACAAAGAAAGCAUUACAACGAAUUUACAAGGACACAUGUUUACGACGAAUCUACCAGACCCGCGUUCUUAGAGUUACAACGAAUUUGCAAGGAAACAUUACAACGAAUUUACAAGGAAAUCUUUACAACGAAUUUACAAGGAAAUGAUUACAACGAAUUUACAAGGACACGUGUAUUACAAGGAAUAUACCAGGCCCGUGUUUUCCAUUACGACGGAUUUACUACGACUAUAUCUGAAUCCCUGAAAAUCAAUCCCUAAACCCCAAAGUCUCUUACCUAUAACAUCAUAUCCCUUUUACCCCAUUCCCCCAUUCUCCCAUUUA